UGCCCCAAAUUCUAAUAUUAGAAAGUAUGUCAUGACACUCAACAUGUUGACAUCACUCUAGUUAACAUCAAGGACUAAAGCAUAAUUUACUCUUAUCACUUGAGACAUCAACAAAGGUUAAGAAGUGAAGAAAAAAUGGUUCAUCAACUAGUAUAUCACAUGUAAUACUGUCAUAAUUAUUUUCCAGUUGUUUUUCCCUACCAAAUAUGUGAAGGUGUGGGCACUUUGCCGAGAUGAUCUGAUUUCAAAUUUCACAAGCAUAUCCAAAUUUUCAGUGGCUUAACACAAUAACAGUGCAUUUCUUACUCCAAUAAUAUUCUAAUGCUGGCAGGGAGAGCGUUGGGAAAUCUCUUCUCUAUCUUUAUUUAGGGACUUAGACUCAUUUCAUUUAUUAAUUUUUUCCAUCCCUUAGGUCUUUGAGUUCUCCACUGAAUGCUUUCCAAUAAGCCAGGAGAUGAGGGAUGAGAAAGAGUACACAAAGAAUCUCAUGAGAAUAGUUUCAGGAACUUUAGGCCAGACCUAGAAGUGGAUAUAUGACUUCCACAUAUGUUCCAUUGGCCAGAACUCCAUUGCAUGGUCCCAACUAACUGCAGAGGAAUCAGAAAUGUAGUCUAGCUAUGUGCAAAGGAGAGAAAAAGAAAUUGAACUUGAAAACAUAUUUACAGCCUAGAUGUUGGGGUUGGACCUUCUGUAAACUCUAAAGGCAGUUUAUAAAUUAAAUGCACGAGUGAUGUGACUCUGCUAUAUUUAUGCUGAGGAAUUAAAUAGCAAAAUCUAGUAUUUCACUGAUGUAUUUAUAUAAAGUAUCUGCUAUAACCUUGUAUAGUACAUUACAUGAUAAUCAUAUUUGAACCUUCCUUCUGGGGACACUAUCUCUCAAGACGUUUUAUGCACCAUGUCAACAAGGUAAGGCACGGACAUUUCAUAUUUAUCCUGAAGAGUGAUACUUCCAAUUCUGUUCAUUCUUCUACUUGAGAAUUUAUUAUAGCACACAUGGAACUUUUGAUUGUCAUCAAACAUCUUGCAAAAUAAUUGAUGUGAAAGUUACAGAAAAGGACACAGAAAAAGAUGGAUCAAUGUGACUGAUAAAGAGGGACUAUGAAAAUAACACCUGUCAAAAUUCCCAAGAUUCUCUUUAAUAAAAAAAUUGCAGCUAGUUAAA
Homo sapiens (human) is the source of this 1162-nucleotide long non-coding RNA. RefSeq lists it as uncharacterized. The record is from RefSeq and is a predicted model, not a curated record. The transcript has 3 exons. NCBI's taxonomy places the organism in Eukaryota, Metazoa, Chordata, Mammalia, Primates, Hominidae.